UAAAAGGAAUGAUCUGCAAGUUUUGGCACAUGUUACCCCAUGGAUGUUCAGCACUUAAUCAACACUUUUAACGUGCAGGCCCUGUGUGCUUGCUCUUCAAGCUAGGGCAAACUGGACAAAGGAUAAUUUAUGAUAACCACACAUAUAUCUUUCUGUUCGGUAAACUUUCUUACAAAAUAUUGUUGCCUCUAGUUUCACUUUUUCCGGUAAACUUUGCCCAUCUCAGGUGACUGAUGUAUUGGGACAGUAUCCAGAUCUUCUGGAGGAGUUCAAUGAUUUAUUGGAGCGUCGUGAAAAUGCAGUCUCUCAGGUUUUCGUCGGGCAUAUACCGCCAGGGAUUCAUUUUCUGUGAAGAAGUGCAAAUGAGGUUGUGCAGUUAAGUUUACUGCGAGGAGUUUUUGAAGUGCUUUCAGAUUUAUCACAAUUCACAAGGGAAUAAUUACGAGGAAUGAUCUACAAACUUUGGUGAGUCUUAUACAUUGUCUGCUUACUUUUUGAGCAUAGAUUUCAUCUUUCUAUUUAUUAAACUUUGUUCAAAAAUAUUAUGUAAGAUAAAAAAACUGAUUACGAGGGCGAGCCCUGGCGUAAUGAAAAAGUUGGUCCUUUGUGACCGAAAGGUGGUUCUAGUCGUAAAAACAGUCUAUUUUCAAAGCAAGAGUAAGGCUGCAUACAAUAGACGUUCCCACUCGACCCUCACAAAGAGUGGAGCCGUACUGAUUUAGGGUCGCCCUUUAUAAAAGGAUUGAUUACAUGGUGGUGUUGUCUCUAGUUUGACAUCUUUUUUAUGGUAAACUCUGCCCCCAAGUCAGGCGACUGAUUUAUUCGGAAUGUAUCCAGAUCUUCUGGAGAAGUUCAAUGAUUUCUUGGACCGUUGUGAGAAAUGAGAAUGUAGAUGGGUUCCUGCUCGCGUUUUGAGAAGAUAAGAGACUCCACCAGAAAAGGCAGUUGAGUUUAAGGAAGCUACCAGUUUGUUAAACAAGAUAUAGGGUCAUAAUAGUGGGUAAUAUUUAUCAUGCAUGCUGUUCAUCUGUAUAUACCAUGUGUUCAAUGACAGAUCAAGAUUCGAACAUUGGGGAGUUGCAGUGUUGAAGGUUUAAUUUUUUUAGAUAUAUACAGAAUGUGAUAAAAAAAAUUCAGUUUAUUUAUCGAAGCAUUUUGUCGAACAUGUGGUGGGCUCGAGGCAUUCAGUUUAUUUAGUGAGGCAUUUUGCGGAAGCAAUUUGAUUAGUGAAAUCAAGAGAAUCUAUUGCGUGUUGUCGAUGCAACUUGUCGAGAUAUGCUAGCAGACAUUACAUCAAAUCCUUGGACGGUCAUCAGAAGAUCUUCACAUGUAUAUGUCUAGCCUUCGAGUGGUUCUAGGACCACCUUAGUCCCAAUGUACAUCCGCCCAUGCACGUGUCGAUA
Long non-coding RNA from Malus domestica (apple), 1403 nucleotides. RefSeq lists it as uncharacterized. Lineage: Eukaryota; Viridiplantae; Streptophyta; Magnoliopsida; Rosales; Rosaceae. The record is from RefSeq and is a predicted model, not a curated record.